Molecule: ribosomal RNA, 174 nt
Filed under: uncultured Flavobacterium sp.
Lineage: Bacteria; Pseudomonadati; Bacteroidota; Flavobacteriia; Flavobacteriales; Flavobacteriaceae
Description: 16S ribosomal RNA
Rfam family: Bacterial small subunit ribosomal RNA
Source: RNAcentral
CUACGGGAGGCAGCAGUGAGGAAUAUUGGACAAUGGGCGCAAGCCUGAUCCAGCCAUGCCGCGUGCAGGAUGACGGUCCUAUGGAUUGUAAACUGCUUUUGCACAGGAAGAAACAAUGCUACGUGUGGCGUCUUGACGGUACUGUGAGAAUAAGGAUCGGCUAACUCCGUGCCA